ACCCGGGAAGCCGAAAACGGGAUAUAGAGUAGGCA
Molecule: non-coding RNA, 35 nt
Filed under: unclassified sequences
Description: DUF805b RNA
Rfam family: DUF805b RNA
About the family: Bacteroidetes, Chlorobi (1 example), Proteobacteria. Lineage (Flavobacteria)
Source: RNAcentral